RNAcentral lists this ribosomal RNA (253 nucleotides) under uncultured bacterium. RNAcentral's name for it is "partial 16S ribosomal RNA". It matches the Rfam family "Bacterial small subunit ribosomal RNA", at positions 524 to 776 of the family's 1533-position model. The record is from RNAcentral.
UACGUAGGGUGCAAGCGUUAAUCGGAAUUACUGGGCGUAAAGCGUGCGCAGGCGGUUAUAUAAGACAGAUGUGAAAUCCCCGGGCUCAACCUGGGAACUGCAUUUGUGACUGUAUAGAUAGAGUACGGUAGAGGGGGAUGGAAUUCCGCGUGUAGCAGUGAAAUGCGUAGAUAUGCGGAGGAACACCGAUGGCGAAGGCAAUCCCCUGGACCUGUACUGACGCUCAUGCACGAAAGCGUGGGGAGCAAACAGG